AACGCACGAGACCUGCGGACCUGCGGAGGGAUCAUUAUUGGAAAAAAACCUUAUACAAGUUGCAGGAGGGGAGGAAGUGAGUGGAUGGGGGUUUUUCUGUUCACUCUCUUUCUCUUCUUCUGCUUCUUCAAACAAACGAUCACAACUAUAUCGAGAGAUUGAAUUGAAUUGGAUUGGAUUGGAUGAUGAUUUGGUGGUGGGGGAAAAAAGGAGACAAGAAAAGUGCAGCGCAGAUAGACA
This 240-nucleotide unclassified non-coding RNA is filed under the name soil metagenome. RNAcentral's name for it is "partial contains 5.8S ribosomal RNA, internal transcribed spacer 2, and large subunit ribosomal RNA". The record is from RNAcentral.